UACAGAGGUCUCAAGCGUUGUUCGGAUUCAUUGGGCGUAAAGGGUGCGUAGGCGGAUUGCUAAGUCAGGGGUGAAAUCCUGGAGCUCAACUCCAGAACUGCCUUUGAUACUGGCGAUCUCGAGUCCGGGAGAGGUGAGUGGAACUGCGAGUGUAGAGGUGAAAUUCGUAGAUAUUCGCAAGAACACCAGUGGCGAAGGCGGCUCACUGGCCCGGUACUGACGCUGAGGUGCGAAAGCGUGGGGAGCAAACAGG
RNAcentral lists this ribosomal RNA (253 nucleotides) under uncultured bacterium. Its description in RNAcentral is "partial 16S ribosomal RNA". It matches the Rfam family "Bacterial small subunit ribosomal RNA", at positions 524 to 776 of the family's 1533-position model. The record is from RNAcentral.